GCCUGUCUGAAAUUUAACCCACCACUUACUGUAUAAAGAGAUCAAAUGAGAGAUAGAUAGAGAGACAGAGAGAGAGAAUGAGAGAGAGAGCAAGAGAGAAGAAUUGGGAUUGAGGGGGGGCAUACAUCUGCAAUUUCAAGAUACGUGUUUGAUGUUUUACUUUUUCCUGUGCUGCACUCUGUAUACUCUGUUUAAACCUCAUCUCCUCACCUAAAGACAAGUGUGACAUUUGAAGGGAAGCUUAGAGAAAUAAAGCCAACGAGACUUCCCUUUGUCCCUACAGUAGGUCUUGUUUCCACUGUGUCCUGACCGGCCUCUGGUCCUCCCAGCUGUGUUGGGUCCCCGUCCCUCAGAGUCAGACAGCUGGCCCGGGGUGAGGUCACUGUGCUGGAGCCAUGGGACAGCGGAUCCUCCCCUCUCGGUGACACCUGUCUGGAGGAGCUCCAGAGUGAUGCACCCUGGGACCCUCGGUCCCAGCCAGAGGCUCCAUCCUCCAUCCUCCACAUAGUCAUUCCUUUACAUCUCUGUUUCCGCCUGAUGACAACUCUACCUUCCUUCAUCACGCCUGAGGGACCUUGGACCUUCUCCUCCAAUAUGGUUGAGAAAGAUGCAAGGAGACAGGAUGCGAGGAAUCGAGGAAAGAAGAAUUGAGAUAGAGCCUCUGUGUGAACCAGAGGACUGUCUUUGGAACACACUCUAAAGGCAGAGUAACCAGGGGAACCAUAGAGGGAGCAGACACCGUGAGUCUUAAGGGUGUGUUUCCAUGUGUCC
This 771-nucleotide long non-coding RNA is filed under the name Salmo salar (Atlantic salmon). RNAcentral describes it as "lncRNA (ENSSSAG00000118437.1)". Lineage: Eukaryota; Metazoa; Chordata; Actinopteri; Salmoniformes; Salmonidae. The record is from RNAcentral.